GCAAGUCGAACGGAGGUUAUCGAGAGCUUGCUUUGUAUAACUUAGUGGCGGACGGGUGAGUAACACGUGAGCAAUCUGCCCUUAAGAGGGGGAGUAGCAGUUGGAAACGACUGAUAAUACCGCAUAAGAUAGUAGUACCGCAUGGUACAGCUAUAAAAGAUUUAUCGCUUAAGGAUGAGCUCGCGUCUGAUUAGCUAGUUGGUGAGGUAACGGCUCACCAAGGCAACGAUCAGUAGCCGGACUGAGAGGUUGGACGGCCACAUUGGGACUGAGACACGGCCCAGACUCCUACGGGAGGCAGCAGUGGGGAAUAUUGCACAAUGGAGGAAACUCUGAUGCCAGCGAUGCCGCGUGAGGGAAGAAGGUUUUAGGAUUGUAAACCUCUGUUGACAGGGACGAUAAUGACGGUACCUGUUGAGGAAGCUCCGGCUAACUACGUGCCAGCCGCAGC
RNAcentral lists this ribosomal RNA (451 nucleotides) under uncultured bacterium. RNAcentral's name for it is "bacterial SSU rRNA". It matches the Rfam family "Bacterial small subunit ribosomal RNA", at positions 57 to 518 of the family's 1533-position model. The record is from RNAcentral.